GAGUGGCGAACUGGUGAGUAACACGUGGGAAACCUGCCCAGAAGCGGGGGAUAACACCUGGAAACAGAUGCUAAUACCGCAUAACAACUUGGACCGCAUGGUCCGAGUUUGAAAGAUGGCUUCGGCUAUCACUUUUGGAUGGUCCCGCGGCGUAUUAGCUAGAUGGUGGGGUAACGGCUCACCAUGGCAAUGAUACGUAGCCGACCUGAGAGGGUAAUCGGCCACAUUGGGACUGAGACACGGCCCAAACUCCUACGGGAGGCAGCAGUAGGGAAUCUUCCACAAUGGACGAAAGUCUGAUGGAGCAACGCCGCGUGAGUGAAGAAGGGUUUCGGCUCGUAAAACUCUGUUGUUAAAGAAGAACAUAUCUGAGAGUAACUGUUCAGGUAUUGACGGUAUUUAACCAGAAAGCCACGGCUAACUACGUGCCAGCAGCCGCGGUAAUACGUAGGUGGCAAGCGUUGUCCGGAUUUAUUGGGCGUAAAGCGAGCGCAGGCGGUUUUUUAAGUCUGAUGUGAAAGCCUUCGGCUCAACCGAAGAAGUGCAUCGGAAACUGGGAAACUUGAGUCCAGAAAAGGGCCAGUGAACCUCCAUGUGUAGCGGGGAAAAGGGGUAGAUAUAUGGAAGAACACCAGUGGCGAAGGGGGCUGUUUUGAUCUGUAACUGACGCUGAGGCUCGAAAGUAUGGGUAGCAAACAGGAUUAGAUACCCUGGUAGUCCAUACCGUAAACGAUGAAUGCUAAGUGUUGGAGGGUUUCCGCCCUUCAGUGCUGCAGCUAACGCAUUAAGCAUUCCGCCUGGGGAGUACGGCCGCAAGGCUGAAACUCAAAGGAAUUGACGGGGGCCCGCACAAGCGGUGGAGCAUGUGGUUUAAUUCGAAGCUACGCGAAGAACCUUACCAGGUCUUGACAUACUAUGCAAAUCUAAGAGAUUAGACGUUCCCUUCGGGGACAUGGAUACAGGUGGUGCAUGGUUGUCGUCAGCUCGUGUCGUGAGAUGUUGGGUUAAGUCCCGCAACGAGCGCAACCCUUAUUAUCAGUUGCCAGCAUUAAGUUGGGCACUCUGGUGAGACUGCCGGUGACAAACCGGAGGAAGGUGGGGAUGACGUCAAAUCAUCAUGCCCCUUAUGACCUGGGCUACACACGUGCUACAAUGGAUGGUACAACGAGUUGCGAACUCGCGAGAGUAAGCUAAUCUCUUAAAGCCAUUCUCAGUUCGGAUUGUAGGCUGCAACUCGCCUACAUGAAGUCGGAAUCGCUAGUAAUCGCGGAUCAGCAUGCCGCGGUGAAUACGUUCCCGGGCCUUGUACACACCGCCCGUCACACCAUGAGAGUUUGUAACACCCAAAGUCGGUGGGGUAACCUUUAG
This 1368-nucleotide ribosomal RNA is filed under the name Lactiplantibacillus plantarum. RNAcentral describes it as "Lactobacillus plantarum 16S ribosomal RNA". It matches the Rfam family "Bacterial small subunit ribosomal RNA", at positions 93 to 1445 of the family's 1533-position model. The record is from RNAcentral. Lineage: Bacteria; Bacillati; Bacillota; Bacilli; Lactobacillales; Lactobacillaceae.